UUCGUCCCGAGGAAGUACGCCUGCGCGUUAGCCCGAGGUUGAAGAUGGAGUUAAAGGAGUUCAGCCAGCUUCUUUCCUCUACCUUGCUUCCUCACUGUCCCGGCCCUCUAGUGGCGAUCUGCGCUUGCGCAAGGGAGCAGGUUUCUCCAUGCUCACUGAACAAAAGGGAAUGACCAACAGCAGGACCUUCUUCACCAAGUCCUGGAAAUAGCACCUGCUUUUCCAAGUCAGAUACAAAGCCCAAACAUCUCCACUGUAAACAGUAUGCGGCUCCGAAGGGCUGUGGCAGACCAGGACUGGGACAAGUCACUGCAGUGACUCACACUUAAUAGCAUCUUGCAGCUGCCAGAGGAGAUUUUCCAGGCACAGGAUGGGCUCAUAGAUUCAAAGAGACACGGCCUCAGUGAUCUCAUGCCCCAGGAACAUGAUAGUGCGUUGUUCAGAGUUACUCCUGGUGGCCUCUCUGAUCUCAAACUACCAGAUAAUCAAAUCCGUGAUUGAUGGCACCAAGGGAACAACCAAAAGGAACUGAUGUACAAAGGAGCCUGCUCAAUCCAGUGAAGUAAAAACAUUAGCAGCCCUGAACACCUCAUGAAGAUGGCUAUGCCAUAAGAUGGAAGGAACCUGGAUCCCUGAGUCAGAGAAGAGAGAGCUACCAAGAGAGCCACCCAACCAAGAACACAUACACUGAACUUUGCCUGCAUGCUAAGUCACUUCAAUCAUGUCCAGCUCUUUAUGACCCUGUGGACCAUAGCCCACCAGGCUCCUCUGUCCAUGGGAUUCUCCAGGGAGCUGGAGCCAGCAGUAGAGACACUGUUUAAACAUUGAACCAGGAGCUAUUCAGGCCGAGCACCGUGGAGGACACACAGACUGUGUCCAUCAUUCAGCAACUUCAUUUGAACCAGAACCAGUAAUGAAACAACAACAAGCUGGACAAUCUGUCGUUUCCAGGCUUUGAUGUCUUAUAAGCCGGUGGAGAUAAAAUUCACUGUAUCUGUAGGCACACUCGAACUGGGAGCGUUGAGGUGCGGCCAGGGUGUAGGGCCCUCAGAGGAGUGAGUGGUUAUCAAAACGCGCAGGAAGCAUCCUGUGUGGAGAGGAGCUAAGACUUUUGGUUGGUGGAGCAGGAGAGAGCUGGGGAGGGGAGCAUAAAAACCUUUGUUUUACUCUCCCUCUUUCUCACCUCCUGCCAAUAAUCUCUGUUGGCCAAACACAGCUGGAAGCCAGCAAGCAAGUUGGUGCAUCCUUUGUGGGAACAGAAUAAAAUGGAGACGUGUAUAGGGAGGAUGUGGAGGAGCACAGGGAAGCCAUCUGGCACAGGGGCUGUUGCAACUGUCUAGAUAAGAGACCACCUGCGUGCGUGCUAAGUCGCUUCAGUUGUGCCCAACUCUUUGCAACCCUACGGACUGUAACCUGCCAGGAUCCUCUGUCUAUGGGAUUUCCCAGGCAAGAAUACUAGAGUGGAUUGCCAUGCCCUCCUCCAAGGGGUCAAACCCGUGUCUCUUGUGUCUCCUGCAUUAGUAGGCAUGUUCUUUACCACUAGCGCCACAUGGGAAGCCCAAGAGCACCUACUGAAUUUAAAUCUCAACUCUGCCAUAAACUGUGUGCUGUGUGACUUUGUGGAAGAUACUUAACUGCUCUGAACCAUAGUGUCCUAGUCUUUUAAAACGAGGUAAAUAGCUCACAGAUUAUUGUCAGGAUAAGGUUAAUGUGUAUCAUUUAGUGCUGUACCUGCCACACAGUAAGUGCUAGAUAAAUGCUAUUAUUUUCCCUUCUUCAUUGAACUUAUUCUCUGCUUGCCUCUUUUAAGCCAAGCCUAGAAAUCUACUUUCUUUUCAACAUUAGCAUGCUUUAGAAAGAUCCUCUUACUCAUAAAGGCCCUGGGAAAGUGUCAGGAUCAUUCCUAUGUCAGAUACAUUAUUGCAGUAAAAUUGUUUUGGAUCAAAAUAUUAUUUAAGCAGAAAAACAUUUACUUUUAAUUCUUCAGAAAGAAUUACAAGGACUAAUUUGGCCUUUAGCAAAUAAUUCAACAUAAAUUACCACCUACUUACCAAAAGCAGCAGUUUAUGUUGCCCUCGUAGCUCAGUUGAUAAAGAGUCUGCUUGUAAUACAGGAGACCCGGGUUCGAUUCCUGGGUCAGGAAGAUCCACUGGAGAAGGAAAUAGCAACCCACUCCAGUAUUCUUGCCUGGAGAAUCCCAUGGACAGAGGAGCCUGGCAGGCUACAGUCCAUGGGGUCACAAGAUACAGACACAACUUAGCGACUAAACCACCACACCAGAAGCAGCAGUUUUAUUUCCUAGGACCACUGGACACUGGCAUCAGCCAUACCCUAUUCGUUUGUGUCAGAUAAUGAGAUACUCUGCAUGGAGAACACUUAAUUGGAUCGCCGUGGAGUGAAUCUCAGAAGACUUGCUGUGAGCCAAUUGCUUAUUCCAAGCAUCUGAAGAAUAUUUGUUGUUGUAAACCUCACAGCAGCUUGCCAGGUCGUUUCCAAGUUCUGAUGCAAAGUCUAUAAUGUAUUCCUAGAAUCAUCUAAUGUUGUUAUCGAUGAUCCCUCAGGCUGAAAUGUUUUCUGCUGUUUCACUCAGUGUAAUUCUAAAACAAUGAUGGUUGCCUGCAGGCUGGACCAUUAGAGGAGACUGGACCAUGCUCAGGCUACAGGCUUUCCUUGUGGGCUGCUCUGAAGACAGGGAGGAAAACUGAGGAUGUUGAGUGCAGUGUUGAGAAAGGCCCAGAAAAUGAUAAUUGCAUGUGCAUCUGCUUCUCCCGUCACUAAGCAACUUCACAGCCAUUAUGCCAGUUGAGGUGGGUAGGAUAAUUACUUCCUUGCUCUUUACAGAUGAGAAAACUGACUCCCAGGGAUGUUAACUAGCUUGCCCAAGGCCUUCCAGCAAUUUGGGUUGACCCAAGGGUUAGAAUAUAGGCCUUCCAAUUCUAAAGAACUUGUUCAGGGAUGAAAAAGAAAAUUUACAUUGCAAAGUCACUGUUGACUGCCUGUUCUCUGUAAAUGAAACAAAGACCACCAGAGCUUAAAUAGUAAAAAGAAGAAGAAGAAAGCAAAGUUUAUUUCUUUGACAAGAAAACACUAAUCAGUUAAAAACAAAAACAAAUUCAGUGACUAUUUACUUAGAAGGAAAAGUCAGAAUUUUGUAAGUGCUUUAGAAAGAUUCAAGGUGCUUAUGCCAAGUAAGCAUUGAAAACUACUUCUUUGGAUAGAAUGGAGCCAGACCCUAGGUCUUAUGUGAUUGAUUUAACAAGCCCCAUUGUUCAUUGGUCUGGAGAGUCUGAGUGAGGGCUCACUAGAACUUGAUAUUCCUUUUUCAGCUUCAGCCAGUUACUAUGGUUAAGUAUAGCAUUCAGGUUUUUUUUUUCAAUAUAAAUUUAUUUAUUUUAAUUGGAGGCUAAUUACUUUACAAUAUUGUAUUGUAAAAAAAAAUUACUUUACAAUAUUGUAUUGGUUUUGCCAUACAUCAACAUGAAUCCACCACAGGUGUUUGUUUUUUUAGGAUUUUUGAUGUGGACCAUUUUUAAAGUCUCUAUUGAAUUUGCUACAAUAUUGCUUAUGUUCUGUUUCUUUGUUCUGGUUUUUUGACUGACAGCUCAUGGGAUCUUAUCUCCCUGACGGGAGAUCCAACCGCCACCCUCUGUGUUGGAAGAAGUCUUAACCACUGGACCAUCAGGAAAGUCCCUAGCAUUCAGUUUUGACAUCUUUUCAAACUCUCAAAAUCCUCAAAUAUUCACUGGAAUUACACAGAGGGCUUGCUGAGGCACAGAUUGCUGGGCCUAACCCCAGAGUUUCUGAUUCAGUGGUUUGGGCAUAAAGCCUGUAUCUCCAAGUUCCCAAAUGAAGUUUUGUGGCUAUCCUAGGGCCAUGAUUUGAGAACCUCUAUCCCAGACACAUAAUGCUAUAAAGGGAGAGUUUUCAUUUUAUACCUCUUGUUGCCAACAUCCUCUCUAGGAUCUAGCUACCAGAUGACUCCCUCACACUCAGAAGGGACAGAGGUCUCUCCUGAUAAUAACCUUUAUAUUCCCCAUACAGGAGACCUGCCUUUUUCUUCUAUCAGUAGGGAGCCUUUUUUAUGGGGGCAGAAUAGAUAAAGAAUUGCUUGUGGAAUCUAAAGUCAACACAACUUCACACCACAAGCUUUAUCUGUUCAUUUCCCUUCAUGGUGGCAGUACUGAAUUAUUUGACUAGCCUUUUUUAAAAACUAUCAUCCCAUGCAUUGAUUCAAUCUCAUUACCUUUAGAGUUUGCUUUUAUUACAUUACCCUCUCUGAUCAAUAAUCACAUUUUUCCACCUUCAUAACCUUUUCCCAUCUGAUUUUUCAUGAGCAUACAAUCUGAUUUAUUUCUGCUGCAAUUCAGCCUUACAGUUCUCCAAGCUUACAAUUCUCCUUGUAAUAAUCCAGUCUUCUCCAUUUACACCUUCAUCGUUCCUCUGUUAGGCACAUAUUCUAAGUAAACAGUAGUUAUUUGUGUACCUGUUUGUGUCUUGCAGUGGACUGGUGCCUAUGGAGAGAGGGAGCUUACUAGAAGGCUUUGUUUUCCUCAUACCACUAGUCCAGGCCCUACUAUAAUAGGUGCUUAAUAAAUACCAGUUUGAAUUUGUUGGCAGUUUUUAAUCAGAUUCUUUUAAUUCACAUAAGUAAACUUCAUACUUUUGGGCAUAGAGUUCUGAGUCAUGACAAACAUGAAAAGCCCUGUAACCACCACCACAAUUAUAAUAGAACAGUUCCAUAACCUUAAAAAGCUCCAUCAUACAUGCUACUGUUUGUAGUCAAAAACUUCCCUUUUCCUUAGUUCCUGGAGAUCCCUAGUCUAUUCUCUAUCCCUAUAGUUUUACCCCUUUUUGAUUGUCAUAUAAAGAGAAUGGUACAGAAUGUAGCCUUUGAAUAUGGCUUAUUUCACUUAGAAAAGUGCUUUUGAAAGCCAUCCAUUUUGGUGAGUCUGUCAAUAGUUCAUUCUUUGUUACUGAGUAUUGUUCCCCUAUAUGGACGUUCUGCAGUUUGUUUAUCCAUUCACUAGUUGAAGGACCUUUGGGUUGUUUCUGGUUGUAAAUAUUUGCAUAGAGGCUUUUGGGUGAACAUAAAUUUCCAUUUCUCUUGGAUAAAUACCUAAAAGUGGGAUUGUGGGGUAGUAUGAUAAAUCUCGGAGAAGGCAAUGGCACCCCACCGCAGUACUUUUGCCUAGAAAAUCCCAUGGACGGAGGAGCCUGGUAGGCUGCAGUCCAUGGGGUCACUAGAGUCGGACACAACUG
Molecule: long non-coding RNA, 5259 nt
Organism: Bubalus bubalis (water buffalo)
Lineage: Eukaryota; Metazoa; Chordata; Mammalia; Artiodactyla; Bovidae
Exons: 7
Source: RefSeq, a predicted model, not a curated record